RNAcentral lists this ribosomal RNA (804 nucleotides) under Pleochaeta cf. erysiphoides MUMH 3797. RNAcentral describes it as "eukaryotic LSU rRNA". It matches the Rfam family "Eukaryotic large subunit ribosomal RNA", at positions 1 to 818 of the family's 3401-position model. Lineage: Eukaryota; Fungi; Ascomycota; Leotiomycetes; Helotiales; Erysiphaceae. The record is from RNAcentral.
UUGACCUCGAAUCAGGUAGGGAUACCCGCUGAACUUAAGCAUAUCAAUAAGCGGAGGAAAAGAAACCAACAGGGAUUACCUCAGUAACGGCGAGUGAAGCGGUAACAGCUCAAAUUUGAAAUCUGGCUCCUUCGGAGUCCGAGUUGUAAUUUGUAGAAGAUGCUUUGGGCUGUGGGCCCGGCCUAAGUUCCUUGGAACAGGACGUCAUAGAGGGUGAGAAUCCCGUAUGCGGCCGGGGCCUGCGCUCGUGUAAAGCACUUUCGACGAGUCGAGUUGUUUGGGAAUGCAGCUCAAAAUGGGUGGUAAAUUUCAUCUAAAGCUAAAUAUUGGCCAGAGACCGAUAGCGCACAAGUAGAGUGAUCGAAAGAUGAAAAGCACUUUGGAAAGAGAGUUAAACAGUACGUGAAAUUGUUGAAAGGGAAGCGCUUGCAACCAGACUUGGGCGCCGGUGAUCAUCUUGGAGUUCUCUCCGGUGCACUCGGCGGCGCACAGGCCAGCAUCGGUUUGGGUGGUUGGAGAAAGGCCGCUGGGAACGUAGCUCCUCGCGGGGAGUGUUAUAGCCCGCGACGCAAUGCAGCCUACCCGGACCGAGGACCGCGCUUCGGCUAGGAUGCUGGCGUAAUGGUUGUAAGCGACCCGUCUUGAAACACGGACCAAGGAGUCUAACAUCUAUGCGAGUGUUUGGGCGUCAAACCCAUACGCGGAAUGAAAGUGAACGUAGGUGAGAACCCGCUCAGGGCGCAUCAUCGACCGAUCCUGAUGUCUUCGGACGGAUUUGAGUAAGAGCAUAGCUGUUGGGACCAA